Molecule: ribosomal RNA, 1907 nt
Filed under: Salmonella enterica
Lineage: Bacteria; Pseudomonadati; Pseudomonadota; Gammaproteobacteria; Enterobacterales; Enterobacteriaceae
Description: partial 23S ribosomal RNA
Rfam family: Bacterial large subunit ribosomal RNA
Source: RNAcentral
GGGUUGUGAGGUUAAGCGACCAAGCGUACACGGUGGAUGCCCUGGCAGUCAGAGGCGAUGAAGGACGUGCUAAUCUGCGAAAAGCGCCGGUAAGGUGAUAUGAACCGUUAUAACCGGCGAUGUCCGAAUGGGGAAACCCAGUGUGACUCGUCACACUAUCAUUAACUGAAUCCAUAGGUUAAUGAGGCGAACCGGGGGAACUGAAACAUCUAAGUACCCCGAGGAAAAGAAAUCAACCGAGAUUCCCCCAGUAGCGGCGAGCGAACGGGGAGGAGCCCAGAGCCUGAAUCAGUAUGUGUGUUAGUGGAAGCGUCUGGAAAGGCGCGCGAUACAGGGUGACAGCCCCGUACACAAAAGCGCAUGUGCUGUGAGCUCGAUGAGUAGGGCGGGACACGUGGUAUCCUGUCUGAAUAUGGGGGGACCAUCCUCCAAGGCUAAAUACUCCUGACUGACCGAUAGUGAACCAGUACCGUGAGGGAAAGGCGAAAAGAACCCCGGCGAGGGGAGUGAAAAAGAACCUGAAACCGUGUACGUACAAGCAGUGGGAGCCCCACCACUAAGCCAGUGGUGAACUCCACAUACGCAUCCUUUGCGGAAGAUACGGUUAACGGAGCGAAAGCGACGUUCAACCGCAAAAGAAGCAGAGGGGGCUUAGUGGUGGGGUGACUGCGUACCUUUUGUAUAAUGGGUCAGCGACUUAUAUUCUGUAGCAAGGUUAACCGAAUAGGGGAGCCGGAGGGAAACCGAGUCUUAAUUGGGCGUUAAGUUGCAGGGUAUAGACCCGAAACCCGGUGAUCUAGCCAUGGGCAGGUUGAAGGUUGGGUAACACUAACUGGAGGACCGAACCGACUAAUGUUGAAAAAUUAGCGGAUGACCUGUGGCUGGGGGUGAAAGGCCAAUCAAACCGGGAGAUAGCUGGUUCUCCCCGAAAGCUAUUUAGGUAGCGCCUCGUGAAUUCAUCUCCGGGGGUAGAGCACUGUUUCGGCCAGGGGGCCAUCCAGGCUUACCAACCCGAUGCAAACUGCGAAUACCGGAGAAUGUUAUCACGGGAGACACACGGCGGGUGCUAACGUCCGUCGUGAAGAGGGAAACAACCCAGACCGCCAGCUAAGGUCCCAAAGUCAUGGUUAAGUGGGAAACGAUGUGGGAAGGCCCAGACAGCCAGGAUGUUGGCUUAGAAGCAGCCAUCAUUUAAAGAAAGCGUAAUAGCUCACUGGUCGAGUCGGCCUGCGCGGAAGAUGUAACGGGGCUAAACCAUGCACCGAAGCUGCGGCAGCGAACGUAUCACUUAAAGCGAUUCAGCGGAUGACGAUUGACGGAGCGAAGCGACGUCAAAGCGUUUUACAACGUCGAGUCGGUUUAAGGAUACGUUCGUUGGGUAGGGGAGCGUUCUGUAAGCCUGCGAAGGUGGCCUGUGAGGGUUGCUGGAGGUAUCAGAAGUGCGAAUGCUGACAUAAGUAACGAUAAUGCGGGUGAAAAACCCGCACGCCGGAAGACCAAGGGUUCCUGUCCAACGUUAAUCGGGGCAGGGUGAGUCGACCCCUAAGGCGAGGCCGAAAGGCGUAGUCGAUGGGAAACAGGUUAAUAUUCCUGUACCUGGUGUUACUGCGAAGGGGGGACGGAGAAGGCUAUGUUGGCCGGGCGACGGUUGUCCCGGUUUAAGCGUGCAGGUGUGUGUUCCAGGUAAAUCCGGUUCACUUUAACACUGAGGCGUGACGACGAGGCACUACGGUGCUGAAGCAACAAAUGCCCUGCUUCCAGGAAAAGCCUCUAAGCCUCAGGUAACAUCAGAUCGUACCCGAAACCGACACAGGUGGUCAGGUAGAGAAUACCAAGGCGCUUGAGAGAACCCGGGUGAAGGAACUAGGCAAAAUGGUGCCGUAACUUCGGGAGAAGGCACGCUGACA